This 514-nucleotide ribosomal RNA is filed under the name uncultured bacterium. Its description in RNAcentral is "bacterial SSU rRNA". It matches the Rfam family "Bacterial small subunit ribosomal RNA", at positions 791 to 1304 of the family's 1533-position model. The record is from RNAcentral.
UAGUCCACGCCGUAAACGAUGGAUACUAGGUGUCCGGGAUAUUAACCUCCUGGGUACUACAGUUAACGCGUUAAGUAUCCCGCCUGGGGAGUACGGUCGCAAGGCUAAAACUCAAAGGAAUUGACGGGGGCCCGCACAAGCGGUGGAGUAUGUGGUUUAAUUCGAAGCAACGCGCAGAACCUUACCUACCCUUAACAUUUCACGACGUAUACAGAGAUGUAUAUUUCUCUUCGGAGACGUGAGGAUAGGUGCUGCAUGGCUGUCGUCAGCUCGUACCGUGAGGUGUCAGGUUAAGUCCUAUAACGAGCGCAACCCUUAUCUUUAGUUGCCAGCGAGUCAUGUCGGGGACUCUAGAGAAACUGCCUGCGUAAGCAGAGAGGAAGGUGGGGACGAUGUCAAGUCAUCACGGCCCUUACGCCCUGGGCCACACACGUGCUACAAUGGCAGGUACAGAGGGCAGCUACCGAGUGAUCGGAUGCAAAUCUCAAAAACCUAUCUCAGUUCGGAUUGGAGU